RNAcentral lists this ribosomal RNA (484 nucleotides) under uncultured bacterium. RNAcentral describes it as "partial 16S ribosomal RNA". It matches the Rfam family "Bacterial small subunit ribosomal RNA", at positions 30 to 507 of the family's 1533-position model. The record is from RNAcentral.
AUUGAACGCUGGCGGCAGGCCUAACACAUGCAAGUCGAGCGGAUGAAGGGAGCUUGCUCCUGGAUUCAGCGGCGGACGGGUGAGUAAUGCCUAGGAAUCUGCCUGGUAGUGGGGGAUAACGUCCGGAAACGGGCGCUAAUACCGCAUACGUCCUGAGGGAGAAAGUGGGGGAUCUUCGGACCUCACGCUAUCAGAUGAGCCUAGGUCGGAUUAGCUAGUUGGUGGGGUAAAGGCCUACCAAGGCGACGAUCCGUAGCUGGUCUGAGAGGAUGAUCAGUCACACUGGAACUGAGACACGGUCCAGACUCCUACGGGAGGCAGCAGUAGGGAAUAUUGGGCAAUGGGCGAAAGCCUGAUCCAGCCAUGCCGCGUGUGUGAAGAAGGUCUUCGGAUUGUAAAGCACUUUUAGUUGGGAGGAAGGACAGUGAGUUAAUACCUUGCUGUUUUGACGUUACCAACAGAAUAAGCACCGGCUAACUUCGUG